Ostrinia nubilalis (European corn borer) is the source of this 267-nucleotide long non-coding RNA. RefSeq lists it as uncharacterized. The record is from RefSeq and is a predicted model, not a curated record. The transcript is spliced from 3 exons. NCBI's taxonomy places the organism in Eukaryota, Metazoa, Arthropoda, Insecta, Lepidoptera, Crambidae.
CCUGACUUCAGUAGUACAACAAGUAUUAUCAUAAGUGCAAUCACCACCUACAAAUAAAUCAAGAUGAUGCACAAAUUGGUCGCCCUAUGCUUUGUGUUCGGAGUAGUGUUUGCUGGACCUACCCCAAAACUUCCUACAAUUGACAAUGAUGAACUAGACUAUCCUCCCCACGACAACACCAACAGUUCGAAUCAGCAGAUAUCUCGGACUCUCCCCGACGUGCCUGCCUUUUUGAUUCUAGACGUCAUCAACGCAUUAGUCGGAAAU